Non-coding RNA from Salvelinus sp. IW2-2015, 367 nucleotides. The record is from RefSeq and is a predicted model, not a curated record. Lineage: Eukaryota; Metazoa; Chordata; Actinopteri; Salmoniformes; Salmonidae.
AGGCAGAUUGGGGCACAGGGCUGACACUACAGGGAACCCAUAGUGGAGAACUGCCAGUGAGCAGUUGGGAGCCCUUGUUGAGGUGCUGCUCCUCAAACACGGCAGGACGAUCCUAGUUGAGUGAAUAAGAGCGCCGUCCACGUGACUGGAUGGGUGCUGCUAUGACAGUGGAUUGGAUGUUGAUACUGUGAUGCGCAGUUUGUGCUGAAGAGACUUGCUGACAGUGCCAUUGACCUGUACGCCAUGGUGGUCGUCCUGUUUUGGUAUAAAGUAGUACACUGCUACACACAUACUCAAUCUCUGUCUCUGUACCUCACAUGUUCAUCAUCACACUGUGUGUGUUUGGUAGACUUUGGUAGACUUUAAC